GCUCCCUACGGGGCGCAGCAGUCGGGAAUAUUGCGCAAUGGAGGAAACUCUGACGCAGUGACGCCGCGUGCAGGAAGAAGGUUUUCGGAUUGUAAACUGCUUUAGACAGGGAAGAUACAAGACGGUACCUGUAGAAUGAGCUCCGGCUAACUACGUGCCAGCAGCCGCGGUAAUACGUAGGGAGCAAGCGUUAUCCGGAUUUAUUGGGUGUAAAGGGCGCGUAGGCGGGAUGGCAAGUCAGAUGUGAAAUCCAGGGGCUCAACCCCUGAACCGCAUUUGAAACUGUCGUUCUUGAGUACUGGAGA
This 305-nucleotide ribosomal RNA is filed under the name uncultured bacterium. RNAcentral describes it as "bacterial SSU rRNA". It matches the Rfam family "Bacterial small subunit ribosomal RNA", at positions 334 to 655 of the family's 1533-position model. The record is from RNAcentral.